RNAcentral lists this unclassified non-coding RNA (144 nucleotides) under uncultured Helotiales. RNAcentral describes it as "sequence contains ITS2". The record is from RNAcentral. Lineage: Eukaryota; Fungi; Ascomycota; Leotiomycetes; Helotiales.
CAACCCUCAAGCCCUGCUUGGUGUUGGGCCCGGCCUGUGGUGGCCGGCCUAGAAGACAGUGGCGGCACCGCCCGGCCCUGAGCGCAGUACGACCCUCGCUCCAGCGCCCGGCAGUAGCUAGCCAGGACCCCCGACUCCCUGUAG